GUAUCCUGGCUCAGGAUGAACGCUAGCGAUAGCUUAACACAUGCAAGUCGAGGGGCAGCAUUAUUUUAGCUUGCUAAGAUAGAUGGCGACCGGCGCACGGGUGCGUAACGCGUAUGCAACCUGCCUGUAAUUAGGGAAUAACCCGGUGAAAGUCGGACUAAUACCCUAUAUUCUCUUUUUCCGCAUGGAGAAGGACGGAAAGAUUUAUUGAUUACAGAUGGGCAUGCGUCCCAUUAGCUAGUUGGUAAGGUAACGGCUUACCAAGGCAACGAUGGGUAGGGGGACUGAGAGGUUGACCCCCCACACUGGUACUGAGACACGGACCAGACUCCUACGGGAGGCAGCAGUGAGGAAUAUUGGUCAAUGGGCGAGAGCCUGAACCAGCCAAGUCGCGUGAAGGACGACGGUUCUAUGGAUUGUAAACUUCUUUUGUAGAGGAAUAACGGCAGCUACGAGUAGCUGAGAUGCAUGUACUCUACGAAUAAGUAUCGGCUAACUCCGUG
This 503-nucleotide ribosomal RNA is filed under the name uncultured Porphyromonas sp. Its description in RNAcentral is "bacterial SSU rRNA". It matches the Rfam family "Bacterial small subunit ribosomal RNA", at positions 14 to 507 of the family's 1533-position model. The record is from RNAcentral. Lineage: Bacteria; Pseudomonadati; Bacteroidota; Bacteroidia; Bacteroidales; Porphyromonadaceae.